AAAGCACAUUAACUGCUUGCAGAUUAUUUUUAAAAAUGCAGUUUGAGCAACACCACUAGUAUAGAUUCAACUGACAUUUAGGAGAAGGAGCUUCACUGCUGGGAAAUGAGACACUCAGUAGAGGAUGAAGUAAAUGUUUAAAAUAGGCAAAAUAAGACUCAGACUGUACCAAAGAUAUUCUCACCCUAAUAUACAUCUCACAUUUAUAUCAUUGGGGGUGUCUCUUUUCUGAAUGCAUAUCAAGUAGCCUUUUUGACCUUCCAAAGAAACCUCCUCAGAUCUCCCCUCUUGUCGCUACCUACCUGAUGAUGAGGAGCCUUCAUAGUCUCAGUGUCACUGCCAGAGGUUCAACAAAUUCCUUUUUCACACUCCUGGAAGUUUCUUUCUUUUCUCCUCCUCACUCACUGGCAUUUGCUGAGCCCUUCCUGGCAGGCAGGGAGUGGGAAAGUCCCUUAUCUGAACUCACUAUCUUCCCAUUUCCCUUGCUGCUGGAGAAGCCCCAGGCCAUGGCAGAAGAAACUGGAAUUUCAGAGCCUGGCCCAGCCUACCUCCAGUCUCACUCUGUAUGAGCAGGCAUUUAGCUGGCUCAGACACAAGCAAAGGAGCUCUGAAGAAAGAAGAACUGCAUGAGUCAUUUUGCUAUCUCAUUUCCUUUUCGGUCCACACGAAAAUCCUAUCAGUAGCUAAUACAGCUUGAUGUAGAAUUAACUCUUAUGGCAUCUACUACAUUACCUCCAUGAAGCAAUUACUGAGAUCUCUGCCAGAAGUAGCUUUUACUGGGGAAUCCAAACUGCCAGUGGCAGGAGGCCAGCGCUGAAGCACACUGGAGCAACAGCCCCUGCAGGACGAUUCCUGCCUCUAUGGAUCUGAUACAGAUUCUAUUUUUGUAAACAUCUUCUACUCAUGAACUUCACAGGCCUCUGCAUAUUUUCCACAGCUGAAGACACAUCGUGCAAGAAGCAUGUAGGAAGUUUUUCCAUGUCUUCUGUGAUAGUAGCUGGUCACAAGGUAUUACAUAAGGAUUUUAAAAGGAUCAGAGAAGGAGAAGGUGGACAUUCAUUUUCCAGAGUCUUUUCAUGGGACGACAGAUAUGGUUGCCAGUGAUACCUCUGGGGAAUAGGCAAAAGGAAGACAUUUUGCAUUAUUUGGUGCUUGGUGAUGUUUACUUGAAAGUGGGACAUUAGUUGGCAAGAUAUAUAUUGUUUUUUCUUUUCAUUUUAGCUGGUUUUAGUGGUAGCUAAGGAAGAUAACAGGGACACAUUACCUACUGUGAUAUAAUCUGCAUCCGUGAUAAUUAAUUGAUGAAAAGAAUAUAUUUACUCAGCAGGUAAGACAGUGACAAUAGCUUUGUAUUUUAUAAGCAGUGUUUCUUUGGAAGAUGCUGUUCCAGUAUUUAUAAUUUAUAAGAUCUUUAUAUUUAUAUAGAGAUAUAGGGAACAUCUGGUAGAACAGGUUUAAUAGAUUCAUCAAUGGCUUAUAGAAAAUAUGAACAGCUGUCUCUUAAAACACAAACAAACAGUUAGUUUACAGCAUAAGCUGUUCUUCAGGGAUAUGAUGGAAGCCUCAGGGUAGUUUAGAACAAGUUGCUAAGAACCAGACUAGUUCUAAAACUGCUUUGCUCUGUGCUGUUAUCAGCCCCUCUAUCAGGCUAGUGACCAUCAGUCACAAGGUGACUAUUUUAAGAUUUGCUGGAAUUGUGUUUUCCUCCCCACCCAUCCCUGCCCAGACUUACAGUGACCACUCUGUGUGCAGGGCAUGGGGGAAGAGAGGCAUGGAUCCUUGUCUGUUCCCAAUUCACCUUGGCAUACAACCCCAGAAAUAGGUGGUCCUCCCCUAGGAGCACAUGCUUAAUGCUUAUGGUUUCUCAAUUUCUCUGUUGAAUUCGUCGCAAAACUGCAGGAACAGAGGAAGAAGGAAGUCAAGGGAUCUUUAUGUGGCACUUCCUCCAGCAGCAUCCUUGACCUAGUUUGGGCAGCACUGAAGCUCUGUUUUGCAAACAGAAGUUGCUAAUGGCAGUGACCUACAGAACACAACAGGUCAAACAUUCUUUCCCUUUUGCCAGCACAGCCCUUCACAACAGGGGCUGUGGAAGGGGAGAUUUUCAGAUCUGCAAUAAACAGAGGGGCACAUAAUUUCAUCCAUCAUAAAAAUAAAUUAGCAAGUUGCAAGGGGCUGUUUCCUACUCCUCCUUUCUUCUGAGGUACCCAGCUUUGUAAAAAGAUCUAUCCAUGUUUCUCUCUAGAUAUUUAAAUACCUCUUUUUGCCAAACCUGUACAAAAACUUAUAUUUGUGAAGAUCUUUCAGACCAGCAUUUAAAUCAGCACUUAUCAAAAAAAUGUUGUACACAAUUUCCUACACAAAAUUGCAGCCUCAUUGUUUAAGAACCAACCCACAAUGCUCAGAGAAAAUAUCCACAGCCUGUCAGAAAGUUUAUUUCAAAGAAAACAAAACUGUUUAUGUUCUGUCAUUUACCUCCAGUUCCUUUAAGCAGCAGUGGGAAUGCUGUUGCUCAUGAAAGUGCAAGGACAAAAACUGUGGGGCACAGUUAGAUUUAUGUUCUGUUUCAGUCCCUUGUUCAGAGAUUCAGUCUUAUCACUUCCCUCCUACGAGAUAAUUCUUAUGAAAUCACAUUCUUAUUAAACCAUGUAUUUCUUCAAAAUGUAAAAUACCUACUUUUCUUUUGGUGCUAUAUGAUAAACAUUUUUACUGAUUUUAAAAAGUUUGUUAUUGUCUUGAUAAAAACUAGAAACUGUUCACUGAUGAUGAAUUCCCUAUUGCAUAGAACCCACUGCACAGAAGAGCUGAGCAACUGGGUGAAAGCUGUCUUAACGAAAUCUUCUCAACUUCUAAUGAGAAUGAAAUUGACUUUUAAUAUGGAGAUUUAUGUAAAUAUAAAUAACACAUAAUGUUAUGUAAACAUGAUAAAUAAAGGUGUGAUUAAGAACCAAAA
Molecule: long non-coding RNA, 2950 nt
Organism: Melospiza melodia melodia
Lineage: Eukaryota; Metazoa; Chordata; Aves; Passeriformes; Passerellidae
Exons: 2
Source: RefSeq, a predicted model, not a curated record